RNAcentral lists this ribosomal RNA (301 nucleotides) under uncultured bacterium. Its description in RNAcentral is "partial 16S ribosomal RNA". It matches the Rfam family "Bacterial small subunit ribosomal RNA", at positions 509 to 807 of the family's 1533-position model. The record is from RNAcentral.
CAGCCGCCGCGGUAAUACGUAGGUGGCAAGCGUUGUCCGGAUUUAUUGGGCGUAAAGCGAGCGCAGGCAGUUCCUUAAGUCUGAUGUGAAAGCCCACGGCUCAACCGUGGAAGGUCAUUGGAAACUGGGGAACUUGAGUGCAGAAGAGGAGAGUGGAAUUCCAUGUGUAGCGGUGAAAUGCGUAGAUAUAUGGAGGAACACCAGUGGCGAAGGCGACUCUCUGGUCUGUAACUGACGCUGAGGAGCGAAAGCGUGGGGAGCGAACAGGAUUAGAUACCCCUGUAGUCCCUGUCUCUUAUAC